UACAGAGGGGGCAAGCGUUGUUCGGAAUUACUGGGCGUAAAGGGCGCGUAGGCGGCCUGGCAAGUGGAAGGUGAAAUCCCUCGGCUUAACCGAGGAACUGCCCUCCAAACUGCUUGGCUUGAGACCGGGAGAGGUGAGUGGAAUUCCCAGUGUAGCGGUGAAAUGCGUAGAUAUUGGGAGGAACACCAGUGGCGAAGGCGGCUCACUGGACCGGUACUGACGCUGAUGCGCGAAAGCGUGGGGAGCAAACGGG
RNAcentral lists this ribosomal RNA (253 nucleotides) under uncultured bacterium. Its description in RNAcentral is "partial 16S ribosomal RNA". It matches the Rfam family "Bacterial small subunit ribosomal RNA", at positions 524 to 776 of the family's 1533-position model. The record is from RNAcentral.